AUUGAACGCUGGCGGCAGGCCUAACACAUGCAAGUCGAGCGGAUGAAGGGAGCUUGCUCCUGGAUUCAGCGGCGGACGGGUGAGUAAUGCCUAGGAAUCUGCCUGGUAGUGGGGGAUAACGUCCGGAAACGGGCGCUAAUACCGCAUACGUCCUGAGGGAGAAAGUGGGGGAUCUUCGGACCUCACGCUAUCAGAUGAGCCUAGGUCGGAUUAGCUAGUUGGUGGGGUAAAGGCCUACCAAGGCGACGAUCCGUAACUGGUCUGAGAGGAUGAUCAGUCACACUGGAACUGAGACACGGUCCCGACUCCUACGGGAGGCAGCAGUUGGGAAUAUUGGACAAUGGGCGGAAGCCUGGUCCAGCCAUGCCGCGUGUGUUAAGAAGGUCUUCGGAUUGUAAAGCACUUUUAGUUGGGAGGAAGGGCAGUAAGUUAAUACCUUGCUGUUUUGACGUUACCAACAGAAUAAGCACCGGCUAACUUCGUG
Molecule: ribosomal RNA, 484 nt
Filed under: uncultured bacterium
Lineage: Bacteria
Description: partial 16S ribosomal RNA
Rfam family: Bacterial small subunit ribosomal RNA
Source: RNAcentral